UUUAACCGUAACAAAAUUCAUUACCUACACUUCUAGCCAAAGAAUAACCGAAUUUGUAUUCUACAACAACAGUUUCGUCAACAUCAAGGUUUUCUUCUCAAAUCUCUAGCUUCUUCUAUCGCAGCAACGCUUCCAUGAAUUUCAUUCAAUCCAAUAAUCAAUAGCUUGGAGCCACUGAACGAAAUUUGAAUGGUUCACAUUCUGAGCUCCUAGUCUAAAUCUGAUUACCUGAAGUUGGAAUUUGAGUCAUUUAUCAAACAGUUCCAAUUUAUUGACGCCGCUGUGGUUAAGAUUGUGAAUUAAUCACGUGAUAGAUUGGAAGUUGGAAUUUGAGUCAUUCGAUCUACAUCAUCAUGUGAUAGAUUGUUGAGUUUGUGAGACACGUCAAUCUCAAGUGAUUCCAAAAAUGAUAUUUUCAGGGUCAGGUUUGUACGACCUAAUUUCUGUUACAGUCUAAUCACUGGUUCUGCCACUGGCAUGCAGACAGGCUUCUUGCUCCUCAAAUCGCCCUCUGUGGUGUAGUCAAGCUGGUAUGGUUCCAACUCUGUUAGGUGUGCUGCCUAGCAGAUUUACAUCCCCAUCACAUUGUCUCCACAACCCUUGAAGGAUGUAUGAGACAAGAGAGCGUUGAGAGAAGAAAAAGAGAAGAGGGACUAAAGAAGGAUCUUGCCAUGCUGAGAUGAGAGAAGAGAAAAAGUCGAAAAAUUGAGUACAGUGGUGCCGCUACAAAAGGGAUAUUAUGGUAAUUGUUAUCUUGGUAGAAUCCUACGGUCCUUGUUACUAUCCUACAACUUUUCAUUUUGCAACCCCUCUCUUUAUUCUAGGUAGGAUCUUGAUCUUCAUAACCUUGAUUGAAAUAGUGAAUGAGUGAAUUCUUAACUUCAUGAUAUUUAAGUCCAUGGAUACUCUUUAGUGGGUGGGUGCUACUGUUGAAGAGACCAGUGGAGGUACGUUCUCUUCAUAUUACAUAAAUUUAUAUGCUAUUCUUUAUAUGUUGAGUGGAGUUGUCUUGGUAAGUGGUUCAGGGAAAAACGGUACAUUCCAAUCCCAUUUUAUUUCGUUGGCUCUGCCAAUACUUUGUUCUUUCUUUUUUUUCUUUAAAAUUAAAGGGGAUCAAUGGUGCUCUGCACUUACCCCCUUAUGACUCGAACCCACAACCCUUGGGUGUAGGUGAAGCGUCUUACCAACUAAGCUGUGCUUUGUUGUCUACUUUGUUCUUUUCUAUUUUCACAAUUUCAGAACACUUAAACAUGAGAUUUGCUUCCCCAUUCCACACGGAACCCAAGUUGAACUAGAUAUUAUGUGGCUUAUGAAAUAUUAAAAAUUUGAUGCUAACCUUUUUUUACAAGUAUGGUACAACCUAAUUAAAUUUGUAAUAGAAUUUAUAUUGCUGUUGUAAGUUGUUGUGGUAAUGAUGUCUAAGUUGAUAUUGGAUUUUUAUUUUGAACCUGAUUUUUUUUUCUUUUUUUGGGUGGGGGUGUUAUGAUUAUUUGUCUCAUUUUGAGGAGUAGGCUUGUGAGUAAUAUUUUGUUUGUUUUAAUGAGUGGUAUACAAAGCGGCUAAGAGGGAAAAGAUGUAGAGAAUUUUUUGAAUCCCUCUAAAUUAUUUCCCCAAUUCAUUUUUUCAGUUCCUCCAAAUUGGUGGAUCUGAAGAGAUAUAUUUUCCCGAAAGGUAGGGAGCUAUCCUCCCUUCCUUUCACCCCAAAAUCCUUCCUCCUCUUUCCUUCCUAAAUCCCAAACGGAGGCAUGGUCUUUGCUCUUUAAGUUUUUGUUAAUGGCUAAUUAUAGUAUUUUUUCCCUCUAAAAUGCGGUAUGUUGGAAGAUCAUUCUUUUCAGAAAGCCUUUUGGUCUAUUAAUUUCUAGCUAAUGUCAUGAAGUUGUACCAAUGGCAAGCAAAGCUCAACAUUGGGGGUGCUUAUCAAUUUCACAUAUAUUGUAUUGGUAACAGCGAUUAUAGUUGAUUAAAAUGCUACAUCCUUUUCCAUGGACAAAUCAAUUUUAACGAGUAGGCGAAGAGCCAAAUUGACCGGUAUAAUAAGAAUAGAUCAUUGUCAUCCCAGAUGAGCUGACAAUUUGAGACUGGAUGAAGUCCAUCAAAGCACAUUUAUGGCAAACUUGCUGAGACUGAAGGUUAGUCUGACCCAUUUUUAAGAAAUGUUGUUUGUUUGAUUGAAGACUGGAUGAAAUCUAUCAAAGCACAUUUAUGGCAAACUUGCUGAGACUGGAGGUUUUUAAUGAGAUUCUUCUGAAAGGACUGCUUGACAAAGAUGGCCUCUACAAAUUUCCCAGCCUGCUCCAUCCUACUGCACUUUCAGCUUCCUGUCCUAAUUCUAGUUCUGCUUUAUCUUUGUAUUGCAAAUAGAUUUCCUGUUUUAAGUACAUAUGUAGUUUAAUUUCUUACUCUACUUGGCCUUCUAGAUUUGCCCAUCCAAGUUUUGAUUUACAACGCAUUGUAUUGAAACCUUGCAAUAUUCCUUUCUCAAAUAUACAAGGUGAGCCUUGACGCAACGGUAAAGUUGUUGUCACGUGAUUGAAAGGUCACGGGUUCAAAUCCUAGAAACAGCGUCUUGUGUAUAUGCACUUCCGAGUUAUGCACUUCCUGUUGUUUGGGCAAAAGCACACAGGCUUCCCUCUCAUUCAUCUAGUACCACCUAUAGUGGCCCCUCUGUAAUUAAUAUACAGGGACUUGUGGGGCUCUGCUCCCUUUACAUCCACUACUGGGUUUAUAUAUUACAUUACCUUCGUUGAUGCAUUCACUAGAAUUAGUUGGAUCUGUCUUCUAAAAAGAAAAUUUGAUGCUCUUCAUAUCUGUCAGCAAUUCAAAACCAUGGUUGAAAAUCAGUUUUCUCAUAAAGUCAAAUAUGUCCAAGCUAAUUGGGAUGGGGGUUGAACAGUCACUCCAUUUCUAAACUAGUGUGGUAUUGUAACCUAUCUUAUUUGUCCUCACACUCACCACCACAAUGUUGUUGAGCGAAAACACAGAUAAAUUGUUAAACUUGGUCUUACCUUACUUGCCCAAACAGCUCUGCCUUUUGCCUAUUGGCAUUUCUCACUAGUGUCUACCUCAUCAAUAGACUUCCCACUUCAGCUUUCAAUUUUUAAAGUGCCUUACACCACACUCUUCCACAAUCAGCCUUAUUAUAUUUUUCUUAGAAAUUUUGGUUGUGCCCGUUUUCUUUUGCCAAGGACAUACAACAGUUAUAAUGUGUCUGUUUUCUUUUGCCAGGGCCAUACAACAGUCAUAAGUUGCAAUUCAGGUCAUAGGAGUUAUUUUUUCUUGAUUAUUUCACCUCCCAUAAAGUCUAUGAGUGCUUUUCUCCAGAUGGCCGCCUUCGGAUCUCUAUAUGUCAUGAAGUCAAAGCAUAUGUUGCAUUGCUCCAGAACAAAACCUGGACACUGGUUCCUUUACCUCUUGACAGAGCUCCUAUUUGCUGCAAAUGGGUAUUCCACACCAAAGAGGAUUAUAAUGGUUCAAUUAAUUAGUAUAAGGCUUGCCUAGUUGCAAAGUUUACCACUAAAAGUUUGGUGAUGAUUACCCUGAGAACUUUUCUAGAGAAAUCCCCAAAUGUUGAGAAUAACCAAGGACAACUCCUGAACCUCUUGGCAACAAUAUUCCAGUACAUUUGGAGGAAAAGGGUUGGGAACCCAUCAGGCCUUGGUGACUUGAGAGGAUGCAUUUGAUUAAGGGUUGCCUAAUGGUUUCUCACUUAGUCUUCCCCUCGCAGCAUCACAGGUCGUAUAUUAACUCUGAUGAGAAAGAAGUGGAAAAAACAUCAGAGAAAUGGUUUCUCCUCCUACAUGAUUUCAUCAUUUCUGCUACUCUUUUUCGAUUUUAAGAAGACUGCAGUGUAUUUAUUUAUCGGAGCUUAUCUUCAUACAUGGUUUCAUGAUUUUGGCUACUGGUAGUCUGUGGCGUUUCAUACGACCAGAUGCACUGCACUUGUGUUAGCCUUAGAGGUUGUCACCUGGUUGGUUAAAAAUCGGUUUGUUUGAGCGGUAAUAAUUAAAUAAUUACCCAUCUGUUUUACUUUCUCUGGGCUGUUACAAGACUUUAAAUGUGUUUUAUUUUGUAUAAAUUUGUGUGCUGUUAUAAUACUGUCGACAAAAACAGUUUGUUCUUUGGGAAACUGUGACAAUCUGGCUUCACAGGAAAACUGGUUUAGCAAAAGUGACGGAUUCUAGUAGAAGUUUAAUCUUUGGAAAAAAAAUGGGAAAAAGCUCAAAAGAAAGCGAUCAAUUUUCAUUUAUAGAGAACGAAACGAAGCUGAUAUUCAAAUGAUUUUUAAUAAGCAAUCAAUUUUCAUUUGAGCUCAUAAAACAAGCAAAAACUACAAAAGAGACCAAGCUCUCAAAAACAGGUUACCAACUUUUGCGAAUCAUUUUCUGGAACAGAAUCUCUGGGUGCAGAAUAUGUUGCCACCGCUUCAUCUCUGCAAUAUGUGUUUAAUUUACAAGCCUGGUUAUCUCCCACACGGAUUGAGUUAACACAUCUCUUACAUAUAAACUUGGAAGGCAUCCCAUCAGCACUGUCAAUUCCAGCACAUCUGGUAUGCAGCCAGACACCACAGGUAUCACAUGCUAACAUCCUUUCUCCGUCAUCAUCCUUAGUACCACAAAUGCAGUCAACUUUCCAUUCUUCUGUUCCUCGUUCCAUUCGGAAUCGGGCUAAGCCAUUUUUAGCAGGGCAUUCUCCUUGAACUUCAACUGAUCCAUAAGUUGAUCCCAGAAGGAAUUUUAGGGUAUACUCACGUUCUCUGGUUAAACCAUAUCCUAGAAGUUUCACAGCAACAAACUUCUUGUACAUUCCAUAUACCUCUUGAAAAACACUAGUGACUUCAUUCAAAAGGUCAGCAUUAGUAGCAUUCAAAGGCAGCACAAUUAACUCUGGCGGUGGUGUUGGGUGGUCUUCUUUAGGAUGGUCAGAGAGUUUCACAUGACACCAGAUCUUAAGAGCUGAAGGCAGCACUGUGGUCAUUUGCUCAAUUUUGUAAUCCUUCAUAAAUUGCUUACAGUCAAGAAGCUUUCUGGCUGAAUCAGCCACUGUUUUCCUAUUAAUCUUUGGUCUAUAUUUGAUCAUUUUUUCA
Molecule: long non-coding RNA, 5083 nt
Organism: Medicago truncatula (barrel medic)
Lineage: Eukaryota; Viridiplantae; Streptophyta; Magnoliopsida; Fabales; Fabaceae
Exons: 4
Source: RefSeq, a predicted model, not a curated record